AUUGAACGCUGGCGGCAUGCCUUUACACAUGCAAGUCGAACGGCAGCACGGGAGCAAUCCUGGUGGCGAGUGGCGAACGGGUGAGUAAUAUAUCGGAACGUGCCCAGUCGUGGGGAUAACGUAGCGAAAGCUACGCUAAUACCGCAUACGAUCUACGGAUGAAAGCGGGGGAUCGCAAGACCUCGCGCGAUUGGAGCGGCCGAUAUCAGAUUAGGUAGUUGGUGAGGUAAAGGCUCACCAAGCCGACGAUCUGUAGCUGGUCUGAGAGGACGACCAGCCACACUGGGACUGAGACACGGCCCAGACUCCUACGGGAGGCAGCAGUGGGGAAUUUUGGGACAAUGGGCGCAAGCCUGAUCCAGCAAUGCCGCGUGCAGGAUGAAGGCCUUCGGUGU
RNAcentral lists this ribosomal RNA (395 nucleotides) under uncultured bacterium. RNAcentral describes it as "bacterial SSU rRNA". It matches the Rfam family "Bacterial small subunit ribosomal RNA", at positions 30 to 424 of the family's 1533-position model. The record is from RNAcentral.